Molecule: long non-coding RNA, 5624 nt
Organism: Acinonyx jubatus (cheetah)
Lineage: Eukaryota; Metazoa; Chordata; Mammalia; Carnivora; Felidae
Exons: 3
Source: RefSeq, a predicted model, not a curated record
AGAGAGAGAGAGAGAAUCUCAAGGAGCUCGAUGCUCAGCAUGGAGCCUGACGCAAGCCUUGAUGUGGGGCUUGAUCCCAUGACCCAAGGAUCACACAACCUGAACCGAAAUCAAGAGUCAGACGCUCAAUGGACUGAGCUACCCAGCUGCCCCUGAAGGAGGCUUUUAUAACGGCCCAUGCAAGACAUGAUUGCAACUCGGACCAGGGUGGAAUACGUGUGAGUGGCAAGAAGCACACCAUUCCAGAAGCUAGCAGAAAAAGCAUCGAGAUGAUUAUGGUCUUUAGCAGCAGGAUGGCGUUGCCACGAGUGAUGUGAAAUGAUGUAAACCACUCCUGGGAGGGCUGCUGUGUUUUAAACCUCACUUCAGCUUUUCCUCACCUCCGUCUGGUGAUGAACAGCAGACAGGAGAGAAGGCUUCGUGGGAGCUUGCGCAACAUGUGUGACAAUGGAUCAAUGGCCACAAAAGUCCCGCCAGCCUAAGCGGUAGCUCCUAAAGCGGUGGUUCACAAAAACACAUUCCUUCUGUGGUCAACGGGGGAGCGACGAAAAAGAGUUCCACGCUCAUCUCUCUGAGUUUAGGAAAUUCUGGGCUCACUGAAGUUAAAUAGGUCUCCCUCCUACAGAAUUUCUCGGAGUCUCUAGCAUGAAGAUAUGCAUGGAGAGCCUGCCUGAGGGGUUCCACAGAAUUCUGGGUCUCUCUCCAGGGUACCUUCCCCCGACCCUACCCCAGUAUCCUCUUGGCGUCUCCCGGAUGUUCUGUGCAACACAGUUUACUUAUUUAUUAUUUUUAAUAUGAAAUUUAUUGUCAAAUUGGUUUCCAUACAACACCCAGUGCUCAUCCCAACAGGUGCCCUCCUCGAUACCCAUCACCAACCCUCCCCUCCUUCCGACCCCCCAUCAACCCUCAGUUUGUUCCCAGUUUCUAAGAGUUUCUUAUGGUUUGGCUCCCUCCCUCUCUAAUUUUUUUUUUGUUGUUCUUCCUUCCCUUCCCCCAUGGUCUUGUGCAACACAGUUUCGAAGAAUAUUCAUGGACACUCCUCUUCUCAAAAUCAAUGGUUUCUUAUCAUCACAAGUACCUAAAAUGUGUAUUUAAACAACGCUUCACCUUGGGGAGAGAUGACUACGUUUUGAGGUAGCCUCGCACGACGAGCUUGACUUGAUUCCAUCAGGUAAGGCGGAAUGCACCCAGGGAGGGGCGCAUUCACCCCCCACUCCUGUCCCCGGGACCCCCUGCAACAAUUCCUCCAGGGUGUGUGGAUGGGAAGGAAGGGGAGUGGGCCAAGUAGAAGCCGAGCCUUCAGAUGUGCUUCUCUGACACCGGGCUUGAGGACACCUGAGCAGGUGUUUCUUGGGUAUUACCCGUGCAGCUGGGGAACAAGGCCAUCGGUCAUUCGGUGAAUAAGGCCAUCGCUAUUUGCGACAUCAAAUCAAGAAGUCUCCAACCAACAGAGCAUCAGCCAAAGCGGUGGGCGUUUUAUGAGGCGGCGAUCCAACUUCUGGGACCCGGAGGACAGCUGCCGUAUUUUGGUGCGCAUCCAUUGAGACCAACUAGUCUAUUGUUUUUUUAAAGGAAGCUCGAGGUCAAACCUCAGCGGGACCCGCCAACUGCUCUCCCCCGUUCCACAUUGAUCUCCAAAUGCCUGGCUCACAAGCCUUCCAUGGUGGAAACUGGAAACUCCCGUCAUGCUUAGCAUUGCAUUUAAGAGUUUCUCAAGCUUGUGCACACAUGCCCUGAGCAGGGGGUGUGUGCAAGGUCACAGGACAAACAUCUACCCAUUUUAUUUGUAGAUUAAAAACAUUAUUUUUAUAUUUUAUGAUUAUAUUUAUACUAACAUGUGACCUAGAAUGAAAAGCUCAUGAGUUUUCCCCUUUUUUAAACAUAUUUAUUAUUUUAUUUUAUUUUAUUUUUUUGAGAGAGAGAGGGAGCCAGUGAGCAGGGGAGGGGAAGAUUGAGAGGGAGAGAGAGAAUCCCAAGCAGGUGCUACGCCCAUCGUGAGAUUGUGACCUGAGCGGAAAUCAAGAGUCGGAUGCUUAACCAACUGAGCCACCCAGGUGCCCCUCAGUAUUAAAUAUGAGCGCUCGGUGAAAUUCUGUGGUUCUUUUGUGGGCUUUCUCUCUGAAAUGGGAAUGGGGUAAAGAGUUGGGUAUCAUCUACUACUCAGAGCUCUUGGAUGAAAAAUGUUGGUAUUUUUACAUCUAGCCCAACACUCAUUUUGUAACUGAAGAAACCGAGACCCAGAAAGAUCAAAUAUGUCCUAAUCCCAUGCCUGGCAGGCAAUGUUAGCUGCCUACCCAAUAUUCAUUCCGUUCCUCUAAUGGCCCCUCCCCUCCUCCCAUCACCCUCCCCCCCCCUCCCUUUUCAAACUACAUAAAUCCUAGUUAUAUUCUGGGCAGUAGCUAAAAAUACUUGUUUUCUCAGAAUUCCUUGUUGUUAGGAACAGCCAUUCAAUACAGUUCUGUCCAGUGGCCCAGCCCCGGAUCCCUCGCUUCCCAUGGGUUUCUGGAUUUUCUUAUACCUAGAGAGAUGUGAGGAAGCUCUGUACUCUCCCCCUGGGGGCCACCUUUUUAUUUCUUUCUAUUACUCUGAGCUGUGAAUAUUUUUAACCCUAUCAAUAUGGCCAGCUCUUCUGACACAGAGACAGUGUUAGAAUUGUCAACCAUCAGUCCCCAUCCCCGUGGGAUGAUUCUUCACAGGUGGUUUCCAGACUUAGGCUCUGAUGAGCCAAAUAAAAAUGUUUUGUUUGGUUAAAAAGAUUUUUUUUUUUUGAGAGUUUCUAAAAAGAUUUAUUUUCCUGAUUCUGGCGUCUCCUUCCUUUUUUGUUCUUCCUUCAUGAUUCUGGCCAAAAACAUGGGUGUGAGGUCUGGAGGUGCUGCAGCCAUGUUGUGCUAAGAGGCAACAAGCUUAAGGGUGAAUUAUCAACAUGCUGGGGAUGGCGAAAGAGGAAGUUAGGAUGACACUUGGUCUCCAAAGAUUUGUUGAGCAGGUGCUCCAACCUGGACUGCCCAGGCUCAGACUCUGUGAUAUGUGAGCACCAUCAGCACUCGUUUUUGAGUUUUUGAAGGCCCUUUAAUUAGGUUUCCAUUAAGAAGCAAGUGAAUUUCCGACCAAUAUGCCCAGCCAGCUUGUUUAGACCCGUAGGAUUUCGGUGUCUUAAAAAAGGUAUCUAGCCAUGUAAACAUACAGGAAUUUGUUUAGAAAAGUUUCUGGUUUGUAAGACGUUCAAAGAAUUAGUGGCAUGGGCCAAUCCUGGUACGGAUUCCUAAACGACAGACCCUUUAAUUCAUAGGCGUUAUAAUCGUGAUUCAGUAUUGCUUCCCAGAAAAUUAUUAGCAAUUUUGAGAGGCUGUGAUGUCUGCGUGGCCUCCUAAAUUGCGCCCAUUCUACCGUCUAGCCUCAGCCACGAGAAAUUCCAGAGAAACUGAAGGGGUACCAUUCACAACCGCUGAGGUCCCUGGGGUAGGGGAGGAGGCGGCUAUGACGGAGAGUAAAUCCCUACUCCCCUGCAGACAGAAGGCCGAGUGGAAGUCCUCUGGUUUGACGCAAAGGGCUAGUCACCAUCCAGUAUGAAGGUCCCGCCUCUUCCCUCCCAGACAAAUAGCCAGGGGAGAUCUUGGUAAAAGGUAGCCAGCCCAGGGAGGCCAAAGGAGAGCAGAAGGAGAGGGGCCCUUCCCACCGGUCGGUCUAUGGGACUCUGCAACAUAAUUGCAGCCUGCGGCAACAUCCAGAGGUCAUGGCCUUAAAGAAACAGGAUCAUGCGUCAGGGCAGGGAGAGCUAGGGCGCAUGCUCAUUUGUGGGUGGAAGGAAACUGAAUGUUGAGAGCCAGGGGAAGCCUGCCGAACAGCUGUAGUGGCAAGGUAUGAGGUGACCCCGUAGCAGAGACUGUGGGUGGUGGCCUGAGCCGGGGCUCACCAGGGUAUAUGGCUGAGGGGGUAGAAAUGGGGGUAGGUGAGUGAGAGGGACCCGCCGGGUGCAAACUGCGUGAGGGGCUGGCCCCGGCCUCUCCCCUGCAGACCUGAGCAGCUAGCGGGAUGCCCAGGGACGGAGCCCGAGGAAUGUUCCCGAGGAGGCCUCGGUUCAUACCUGCGGGUCCGAGGCCGGUCCUCACCGAGUUUUCACUCCUGACGCACAGCCUUUGAUAAUCGGGGACUCUGGUGCCAAAAAUAAAAUGGAAAGAUAAGGAGGCAGGCAGGGAGAGUGAGAUUCCUUUCCCCAGCAGUAGGGCAGAGAGGGAAGCCUGAUUCCAAAUGGCGGACCCAGAAGAGACCAACCCCAGAGGCUCACGGUGGGAGAGCGUGGCUGGAACUCUCUGGCCCGGCCCUCUCUUUUCCAAACAUACAAAAGUCAGUCCUGUGCUCACUGAAGGGCCUGGAGGGUCAAGGGUCAGGAUAUCCUGCGCCCUGCUGGGCUUCGAGGGUCUUAAUCUGUCUUGGGCAGGCAGAGGUGGGAGAGGAGGGAGCCAGGGGUUCCACGGCUGGUUGGGAGCCUCUGCCGGGCUCCUCCUCUCUUUGCAUUUCGUUUUCAACACAUGCUCACAGCCAGAGCUUCUGCAGUCCCAGCCCCAAGCCCGGCGUCACCAUGGUAACAAUCCUUGCCUCCUGUCACUUGCGGCGUAUUCUUUUUCAAAGGGCCCCUGUGCCUUAUUUAUCCGCUUCAUCUAUUGUGUACCGUCUCCUUCCUGCGUGCCCCAGCUUUGUGCCUCUCACACCUCCGUUCCGAUUCCGAUUCUAGCACCUUCUUGUUGCCUGUACAAGGGGCCCACACCCGUCCCGGUAAAAACCAAAGACACAGGACAAAAGCCAGGCGCUGACGGAGUUCAGGGUCCGCCCGCCUGGGAAGGAGGGGAAGGCGGGGCCGUGGAGGAGCACCGAGCAGGGUGUGGCCUGGUCGGGGUCACCCCGGAGCGGAGCAGGUGGGGGGACUCUUUAGAAUGCCACCAACACCCGCUCCAGCUAACAGAAGAGGCGGGCUGGCUCGCGCCCCCCCCCGCGUGUGACCGUUGCAUCGGGUGGCUCAGCGGUUAGGACUGCGUUUGGUGACAGUUGACGGAAGACUCAAAUGGACUGUGAACCUUCUCAAAUGGAAGUUGAUUCUCCUCUCACGGAGGUUCAGGGGCGGAUGGGGCCAGGCCGCUGUGGGGCACCGACCUCAGGGCCGAGGCACCUCCCGCCUUCAGCGCCGCGCCUCCCACUGUGGGCACCCAUUCUUCAGGUCACCUCGUGGCCCAGGUGGGCUGCUGGACCGCCGGUGCUCUCAUGCACCUUCCGAGGAGAAGGGAGAGGGAGUCAGAGCAAAGGAGUUCUGCUCCGUGGUCUGUCUGUCUUUCAAGGAACCUCCCCAGGUGCCCUUCUCAACACAAUUCUAUUUAUGUCUCGGCUCCAAGAGCUUAGUCCCUCGGCCCUAGCACACCAUGGUGCUUGUGGUCUGAGGGAGCCCUGGUGGUCUCGUCCUUGCGGAUCUGACGAGGUGGGGGUUUGCAGGGGACAGUCAUUCCUCUCUGCGCCGAUGGGGAAGGUGGGGAGGAGGCAUUUCCAAAGAGCUUCUACUUUACGUGCUUCUGAGGCUUGUCCUCCCAGCGAUGGGCGUCUCGACGUUUCCACCUGGAAUUGGGGAGGCGGUGGAA